GUUGUAUGGUUAAGUGACUAAGCGUACACGGUGGAUGCCUUGGCAGUCAGAGGCGAUGAAAGACGUAGUAACUUGCGAUAAGCCCAGAUUAGGUAGUAACAACCAUUUGAGUCUGGGAUUUCUGAAUGGGGAAACCCACUUACAUAAGUAAGUAUCGUUAUGUGAAUACAUAGCAUAACGAGGCGAACCGGGGGAACUGAAACAUCUAAGUACCCCGAGGAAAAGAAAUCAACCGAGAUUCCGAAAGUAGCGGCGAGCGAAAUUGGACUAGCCCUUAAGCUUUACACGCGUUAGACGAACGGUCUGGAAAGUCCGACGAUACAGGGUGAUAGUCCCGUAGUUGACGACGUGUGUUCAGUGAAAUCGAGUAGGGCGGGACACGUGAUAUCCUGUCUGAAUAUGGGGGGACCAUCCUCCAAGGCUAAAUACUACUGACUGACCGAUAGUGAACCAGUACCGUGAGGGAAAGGCGAAAAGAACCCCUGUGAGGGGAGUGAAAUAGAACCUGAAACCGUGUACGUACAAGCAGUAGGAGCAGGCUUUGUCCUGUGACUGCGUACCUUUUGUAUAAUGGGUCAGCGACUUAUAUUCAGUGGCAAGGUUAACCAUCUAGGGGAGCCGUAGGGAAACCGAGUCUUAACUGGGCGUUCAGUCUCUGGAUAUAGACCCGAAACCAGGUGAUCUAGCCAUGGGCAGGUUGAAGGUUGAGUAACAUCAACUGGAGGACCGAACCGACUAAUGUUGAAAAAUUAGCGGAUGACUUGUGGCUAGGGGUGAAAGGCCAAUCAAACCUGGAGAUAGCUGGUUCUCCCCGAAAGCUAUUUAGGUAGCGCCUCGGACGAAUACUACUGGGGGUAGAGCACUGUUAAGGCUAGGGGGUCAUCCCGACUUACCAACCCUUUGCAAACU
Molecule: ribosomal RNA, 909 nt
Filed under: Vibrio parahaemolyticus
Lineage: Bacteria; Pseudomonadati; Pseudomonadota; Gammaproteobacteria; Vibrionales; Vibrionaceae
Description: partial 23S ribosomal RNA
Rfam family: Bacterial large subunit ribosomal RNA
Source: RNAcentral